CGGACGGGUGAGUAACACGUGGAUAACCUACCUAUAAGACUGGGAUAACUUCGGGAAACCGGAGCUAAUACCGGAUAAUAUAUUGAACCGCAUGGUUCAAUAGUGAAAGACGGUUUUGCUGUCACUUAUAGAUGGAUCCGCGCCGCAUUAGCUAGUUGGUAAGGUAACGACUUACCAAGGCAACUAUGCGUAGCCGACCUGAGAGGGUGAUCGGCCACACUGGAACUGAGACACGGUCCAG
Molecule: ribosomal RNA, 241 nt
Filed under: uncultured Staphylococcus sp.
Lineage: Bacteria; Bacillati; Bacillota; Bacilli; Caryophanales; Staphylococcaceae
Description: partial 16S ribosomal RNA
Rfam family: Bacterial small subunit ribosomal RNA
Source: RNAcentral